AAUCAACGCUGGCGGCGUGCCUCAGACAUGCAAGUCGAACGCGAAAGUCCCCCUCGGGGGACAAGUAGAGUGGCGCACGGGUGAGUAACACGUAGGUAAUCUACCUUCGGGUGGGGAAUAACAAUCGGAAACGGUUGCUAAUACCGCAUAAUGCAGCGGCACCUAAUGGUGACAGUUGUUAAAGCGGGGGAUCGCAAGAUCUCGCGCCUGAAGAGGAGCCUGCGGCGGAUUAGCUAGUUGGUAGGGUAAUGGCCUACCAAGGCGACGAUCCGUAGCCGGCCUGAGAGGGCGGUCGGCCACACUGACACUGACAUACGGGUCAGACUCCUACGGGAGGCAGCAGUCGGGAAUUUUGGGCAAUGGGCGAAAGCCUGACCCAGCAACGCCGCGUGAAGGAUGAAAUCCCUCGGGAUGUAAACUUCGCAAGAACGGGAAGAAUAAAGUUUGUGCUAAUACCACAAGCGAUGAGGUACUGUUUGUAAGCUCCGGCUAACUCCGUGCCAGCAGCCGCC
Molecule: ribosomal RNA, 512 nt
Filed under: uncultured bacterium
Lineage: Bacteria
Description: bacterial SSU rRNA
Rfam family: Bacterial small subunit ribosomal RNA
Source: RNAcentral